UACGUAGGGUGCGAGCGUUGUCCGGAAUUAUUGGGCGUAAAGGGCUCGUAGGCGGUCUGUCACGUCGGGAGUGAAAACACGGGGCUUAACCCCGUGCCUGCUUCCGAUACGGGCAGACUAGAGGUAUGCAGGGGAGAACGGAAUUCCUGGUGUAGCGGUGAAAUGCGCAGAUAUCAGGAGGAACACCGGUGGCGAAGGCGGCCAUCUGGACGGCUAUUGACGCUGAGACGCGAAAGCGUGGGGAGCAAACAGG
RNAcentral lists this ribosomal RNA (253 nucleotides) under uncultured bacterium. Its description in RNAcentral is "partial 16S ribosomal RNA". It matches the Rfam family "Bacterial small subunit ribosomal RNA", at positions 524 to 776 of the family's 1533-position model. The record is from RNAcentral.